This 1622-nucleotide long non-coding RNA is filed under the name Sus scrofa (pig). Its description in RNAcentral is "lncRNA (ENSSSCG00050031022.1)". Lineage: Eukaryota; Metazoa; Chordata; Mammalia; Artiodactyla; Suidae. The record is from RNAcentral.
AUAAGUAAAGUAAGCCUGUUAUGUUUGUUGAUAUGAUCUAUGUGCCUGAUCUCUCUUUUGUCAUGUUGCUUCAUGACAUUUUUAGUUGAAUAUAGAAAGUUGUUCACCAUGUGGACACCAUUCUUGCCCCUUUCCUUUUUUAAGAUGCAUACCAAAGUAUUUGAUAGUAAAAUGAUAUCAUGUCUGAGAUUUUCUUUAAAAUACUUCAACCAUAGGGAGUUCCCUUGGUGGCUCAGUGGUUAACGAAACCAACUAGGAUCUAUAAGGAUGAGGGUUCAAUUCUUGGCCUUGCUCAGUGGGUUAAGGAUCUAGUGUUGUUGUGAGCUGUGGUGUAGGUAACAGACAUGGCUCAGAUCCCACAUUGCUGUGGCUAUGGCACAGUCCAGCAGCUGUAGCUCCAAUUCAACCCCUAGCCUGGGAACUUUCACGUGCCGCGGGUACAGCCCUAAAAAGCAAAAAUAAAUAUAUAAAUAAAAAUAAAAUAAAAUACUUCGCCCAUAACAGUGAUGAUGGUAUGGGGAAAGAUAAAAUAAGUACAGUAACAAUGAUGGUUACUGAAGCUGGAUAUUGGGGUUCACUGAAGUUCCUACUUUUAUAUGUUUGGAAAUUUUUGUUUUCAAAAGUGUUUUGCUUUUUAAAAGUUAUAAAUUUUUUUGUCUUAAGUUAUACAAAGUUUCUGUGUUUUUUAUUUACUUUCAUAAUAGGCUAAGUUAUAUCUUCAUGAACAGAGACCUGAAAUAAUUAAAACUUAAGAGCUUCAUAAAAAGAACUGUUAGUGUCUAAAUCAAAUAAAGACCUUCUCUAUUGCCUCAAGCUCUGCAGUAAAUUAUACAUACUGUAAAUGAGCACAGUUUCUUUUAAACUUACAAGAAACAAUUUUGUCUUUGUGAGAGUUUUAUAACGACAUCCAACAGCCUAUAAAAAGCCUGCCUUGAUGCGGUUCCCAUGGUGACAGGACAUAAUAUAUGUGUCCAUUAAAUUUGGAAAUGUAAUGAAGUGUAAUAAAAAUCUACUUCAGAAAAAUACACUUCUCAGCAUAUUUUUAUUAAUUAAAAUAUUGCAUUGAGCAUUUUUCAUGUCUGCAUGCCUGACAGCAAAUAAAAGCUUUGCCACAGAUUAACUGUGAUUCUUGAGUUCCAUCCAAUAUUAAUUGAUACAAAAUAGGAAAGGCAUUUUUGCAGAGAAAAUAUUUUGACUGGUGGCCCAGCGUGAUUAAUGGGUAAACAGCUAUGCUUCCUGAACUGUGCAUAUACCAUUUCAAAUGCCACCAGCAAUACAGAAUUUGACAUUUGUGUCCAUAGGGGUAGAAACAGCCUAGUAAGUGGAUCUCUUUAAUCCUUGGGGAAGAUGUUCCUUAUCACUGACUCCCAAUCCCAGCCUUGCAGAUAGUGUGAGUAUUUUGCCUGUGAGAGGGAAAGGGAGUAAUAAACAAAUCACUCUUACAGUCUACUCUGGAUAGUUAAAAUCCAAAGCAGAAGAAGAGGAGAGGGAAGGGUCUUAAUCUUAGGAUAAUUACCCAGGCACCUUCAGAUGAGGAAUAGAAAAUCUCAGCUCCUUCUGUCUGAGCUCCUCUCUGCAUCUGUCUUCGCCAAUUAACAAUAUCUCAGUGGCUUAGACGUAUC